Centrocercus urophasianus (Greater sage-grouse) is the source of this 3654-nucleotide long non-coding RNA. RefSeq lists it as uncharacterized. Lineage: Eukaryota; Metazoa; Chordata; Aves; Galliformes; Phasianidae. The transcript is spliced from 3 exons. The record is from RefSeq and is a predicted model, not a curated record.
CAUGCUUUUUUGAGUCUUCCCUGUUACCUUGGUAAACAUGGGUUUUCCAUGCUGAGUGACCAUGGUGCAUUGAUCACAGUCCACUGUGAUGGAUGAGUUGUGGUAUGACUCUUUUGAGUGCUUGAGAAUGUAAUACAGGUCUGUUACACCUCCUUCAAAGACAGUGCUAAAAUAACGAGGAAUGAGGGUCCUUCCAAUUGCUGUGAGGAAAAUACAAAGCAGAAUUCAGCAAAUGCUCUAGGUUAUAAAAUCUUCAACUAUUUGCUAACAGAACAUGAAUAAAUUUAAGUGCAAUGAAAUCAAACUUUCAUUUAAGUAAUAUAACACGUUUUCUGUCUGCUGUAGAAAUGGAGUUGUGCCUGCUCCUAGUGAAAUCAAUGAGCACAGCUUAUUCUGAUAUUCAGAGAGAGUGAUCUCAUCUUAUUCAAUCUCUUUACACUGAUGGUGAGUUAGAGUCACUUUUGAAACCAUCUGCAAGUUUUUUGUCCCAGUAAUUAUCAUACAGAGAGCCACAUGGUGCCAAUUAUGACUGAAAGUUGGAUAUUACUCAUAAAUGUAUAAAGACAAGUGCUGAGCACUUACAGAAAUGCAUUUUUACAUUCAAAAAAGCAAAGUGCAUUUAUAUAGAGUAGUUGUGGACACAAAUAUGUUUGCAUGUGUGCACAUGUGUAUGUAUAUACAGCUGCACACACACUGUUGACUGCGUUGACUGCAUAGGAAGCUAUGGCUGUCAAUCUGGAGAGUGAAGAAAAACCUGCGAAUGCAAUACAGUGUAUGUUACACAACAUACGAUUGCCAACAAAGAGUCUACCUGAAAUCUCUCUUUAGACUGAGUGUAUUUGUGCCACAGGCUGGAAGGUCUGUGGUAGCUUAUAUCCACUCUUAGUCCUCAGGAGCAUGGACUUCAAGUACUGAGUUCUCCAAGUAAGUAAUAGUAAUAGUGAGCAUGGCAUGCAUUUUGGAUGCACAGACUAGCAGAAAACCGGUAUCAAAGGCAAUUAUCUCACAUGCAACCGAUGCUUUCCACCUGUUUUUUUUACAGAUAAAUUUGGAUGCAACCACAAGCUUGUAUGAAAGAACACUUUAGUUUAUAAUAGACCAAUACCCAUACUGAACGAGUCAUUGCCUAGCAUGCAUUAAUCAAUCCACAGUAAUUCUGAGUGGUGGAUACAUGAAAAUUACCUCCAUCUUCAAAGGGAAAAACUGAGAGAUCUAAACUAAAUGUUCUGGAACAAUGAGACAGAAAAGUCACCACCAACAGGCAAAAUUAGAGUUGAUUAGCUCCUAAUUCUUACUUAUCUACCAGGACUAUGCGGUGACUCAUGUCUCUCUUAUACCUUUCAGAGUAAUUUCUGAAGAACUUAUUUUCAUAGGAAUUUUGCCAGCAUACAAACAAGGGCACUUGACCCUAAAAAUGUAUUUGCAAGUGGGUGUUGUAAAUUAAAAACUAUGGUGUUUUCACAGAAGUGGUUUCUGUGAAAGCUGUUUCUGCUCGGUGUGUUACAAUGUGGAGUAUUUCAAUGUGCAGUUAUAAUGCACAUUAUGUAAGGAAAAUAUACAAAUGUAGGAAAUAAGGACUUAAAGCUUUUACUGCAAUAUUAGAUAUCAACAUAAUUUUAAGGAUUAAAAUAUACUGUGUUCGCUGGAUAUGGCUGACAGUUCAAUGAAUACUUUGAACAACUAUUCUACAACUCAAGCUCCUAAAAAACCCACCCACUCACCAUGGCCAUGCAUGUAUUAAUUUUCUGCAGUUUUUUAAUUCAAUUUAGAGAAAAUGAAGUCCAGUGUAUCAGCAUAAGACUCGAGCUUUAACUCAAAUUUUUCCGUCUUGGUAUGGUAUAUAGCAAAACUUGAAACUUUUCCAUCAUGUUAAUUUUUUGCUCCCCUAAGGCUAAUUAGUGCAAAUUAAAUUUCCUGCUAAUCAUCCUAGGCAGCAAAUGUGUGAUAUGAAAAUCCAGCAUUCCUACUGAUUGUGAUAAACCUCUAUUCACGUGACUUAGGCAUCACAUAAAAUCCUGAAACUUCUUUAACUGCAUUUAUAGACCAUUCCUGAAGUAGCAUAGUCAUAUGGUGCUGGUUUUAGCCUUGUAACCGCAGCUACAACACAAUAAAGAAGGCUAGAACUACAUUAAAUAUCUUAUUAUUUUUCCUACUAAGCACUGUCUGUUCUUGCCACCGGGAUCUGCUACUGUGAAUAAUGAAGUGAGGAGCCAAAAGGAUGAGGAGGAACAGAGGUGCACAUAAGGUGGUGCCCCACAGAACCUCAUUUUCAUCUACAGAUGCCCAUGCAGACUCUGUCUGUAAAAGGAAAAGCUGCUCAUUUCCUGUGUAAUUCAAGCGUUGUUAGAUUAGACUUCCUUUUCUUCCAGGAACCCAAAAGCUACAUGCCUUCAUGAUGUGCCACGACAUCGACACAAGCUAACCCUAUGAAGAAGCUGGACAUAUUAUUUUGGACUCUGAGCCAGGUGUGGAUGGCCACAUGGUUUCUGGUCAGCUCAGUGUGUGAAGUGGACAGGCUCAUAUACGCCUCUGCAUGUAAGCAGAGCUGGGCUCCUCAGCACUGGAAGACUCUUCAUGGCAAGAUGCAAGCCCACAGGCAGGUGAUGUGAAGAACAAUUGUUCCUCUCCUGCAUGCAGGACUUCAUCCUCAUCGCAAUCGGUCAAGCAUCGCUGCAUGGCUCACAUUCAAGUUAAAAAUACUAGAGGUGAAAUGUGUUUACCUGUCCAUCAAAGGGGACGCAGCAUGGUGGGAGAAUGUGUGAACAACUGGUGGGGGGUGAGGGGUUACAGUAAUAUGAUAAAAGAUACACGAGGCAUUCUCAAAACCCUGAAACUGCAAUGAGCACAUGUGGAUUGAUAGCCAGCAUGAUUUUUCUCGUAAUUUUAUGCUGCAGACGUAUGAACAAUAUCUCACCAGUGGAUAAUAUCAGUUGUCGGUUAUAUACAUGUUUUAUAACAACCAGAACACUGUUUCUCAAAAAGCCGUCGGUGGCUAGCUUUGAUUUCCUUUUUUUCUGCAGUAAAGCUUGCUUUCCCACUCUCUUUCACUUUAAAGCUAAUGGAAGCUAACUGCAGAGAAAGUAAAAAGGUAUUCAACGUGUUAGACACAAUCAUUAGGAAAAUAUUCUACCAUUUAAAAGUGUUUUGUUGGUUUUAAAAGUACUGCUUGUUUAUUAUCCUUAAAAAAGAAGGCAAGUGCCCUGUGUUCAGCUAUACAAAUCAGUUGUCUGACAAAAUAAUGUCAAAUAAUAAAUAACCACUUUCAGAAAAGGGCAAGCAAUGUAACAGGCUUAUAAUCCUCAGUUAGAGCACACAUUAUAUGCGGUUUUAAAUAAAAUUUUACGCAGUAAGUAAUGUGGAAUGCUCUUAACUGGAAAAAGGCAACAUCUGUAAUAAGUGCUGCAACAAACCUGUACUGAAACUGCAAUAACCUCUUUCUAUGUUUUAUGUCAUUUUCGCUAUAUGACGCAGUUUUUCCACAUUUCACAGAGUGCCAUUGUAUCAUCUUCUUGAUAUACCGUUGUUGCAAUGACUGACUAUGAUUUCUAGAACCACUGCAUGUACAGGCAUUGUGACAAACCUGAUCUGCCACUGUAAGGACAGCUUCAGGGACCUUCUGAGCAUAAAAUAUGGCCACCAAUAGGGUCAUCCCAA